Molecule: long non-coding RNA, 239 nt
Filed under: Manihot esculenta (cassava)
Lineage: Eukaryota; Viridiplantae; Streptophyta; Magnoliopsida; Malpighiales; Euphorbiaceae
Description: long non-coding RNA (MESC_LNC009913)
Source: RNAcentral
GAAACAUCAUUGGAGAAUUUCAUGGCAUCAUAAACAUUAAAUUUUAUAAUUUCCCCUUCAAACUCCAUGGUCAAUGUGCCAUCAUGCACAUCAAUUUUUGUUCUUGCUGUGCUCAAGAAUGGUCUCCCAAGUAGGAUGUCAGAGGUGAUUUUGCCCUUAUCCUCCUCCAUGUCAAUCACAUAAAAAUCUGCUGGGAAGACUAGUUGGUCAACUUGUACCAACACAUCUUCUAGCACUCC